AUUGAACGCUGGCGGCGUGCUUAACACAUGCAAGUCGAUCGGUAACAGGUGUAGCAAUACAUGCUGACGAGAGGCGGACGGGUGAGUAAUGCUUGGGAAUCUGCCUAUUAGUGGGGGACAACCCGGGGAAACUCGGGCUAAUACCGCAUACGCUCUACGGAGGAAAGCCGGGGACCGCAAGGCCUGGCGCUAAUAGAUGAGCCCAAGUCGGAUUAGCUAGUUGGUAGGGAACGGCCUACCAAGGCGACAAUCCGUAGCUGGUCUGAGAGGACGACCAGCCACACCGGAACUGAGACACGGUCCGGACUCCUACGGGAGGCAGCAGUGGGGAAUAUUGGACAAUGGGGGCAACCCUGAUCCAGCGACGCCGCGUGGGUGAAGAAGGCCUGCGGGUUGUAAAGCCCUUUCGGUGGGGAAGAAAAGUCUCGACCUAAUACGUCGGGACCUUGACGUAACCACUAAAGAAGCACCGGCUAACUCUGUGCCA
Molecule: ribosomal RNA, 487 nt
Filed under: uncultured bacterium
Lineage: Bacteria
Description: bacterial SSU rRNA
Rfam family: Bacterial small subunit ribosomal RNA
Source: RNAcentral